CCUACGGGCGGCAGCAGUGGGGAAUAUUGCACAAUGGGCGCAAGCCUGAUGCAGCCAUGCCGCGUGUAUGAAGAAGGCCUUCGGGUUGUAAAGCACUUUCAGUAGGGAGGAAGGUAGUGUAGUUAACACCUGCAUUACUUGACGUUACCUACAGAAGAAGCACCGGCUAACUCCGUGCCAGCAGCCGCGGUAAUACGGAGGGUGCGAGCGUUAAUCGGAAUUACUGGGCGUAAAGCGCAUGCAGGCGGCCUGUUAAGUCAGAUGUGAAAGCCCGGGGCUUAACCUCGGAAUUGCAUUUGAAACUGGCAGGCUAGAGUCUUGUAGAGGGGGGUAGAAUUUCAGGUGUAGCGGUGAAAUGCGUAGAGAUCUG
Molecule: ribosomal RNA, 370 nt
Filed under: uncultured bacterium
Lineage: Bacteria
Description: bacterial SSU rRNA
Rfam family: Bacterial small subunit ribosomal RNA
Source: RNAcentral